GUAGUUACAGUGGCAAUUCACUGUGCCCUUGGAAUCCAACACCAUUCUACAUGGGCUCUCAUCCCACUGCCUCCUCUCCGAAUGCCAGCCAACACAGUGGCUGACAGUGCUCUGGGAUUUAUUGAUCUUUUCAAAGGCAUGGAGAGGUUGAAACUGUUCUUGGAGGUGUUGUGAUGGAUGCGAGCACCUUUGGUCUGAAUGAAGAGUUCAUUGACAAUGCUCUCGGAUUCACCCUGGACUUGGAGUUUCUUGGCAAAGGAGUUCACUGACUGCAACAAAUCUGAGCUGGCAUUUUUAUUGGGAAUGAAAGCCCAAUUUGAAAUGGCAGCCUUGCUAAGGAUGUGGUUGGCCAUUUUUCCAUAGUUCUGCAAUGAAAACAAGCCUGUUAGUAUAAAAAAAAAGCCAAUUUCUAAAAUCCUAAACUUUGGCAUAUCUAAUAAUUAUUUCAUCUCAUUUUGA
Molecule: long non-coding RNA, 459 nt
Organism: Mesocricetus auratus (golden hamster)
Lineage: Eukaryota; Metazoa; Chordata; Mammalia; Rodentia; Cricetidae
Exons: 2
Source: RefSeq, a predicted model, not a curated record